UCUGGUGUCAGCCGCCGCGGUAAUACCAGCUCUCCGAGUGGUAGGGAUGAUUAUUGGGCUUAAAGCGUCCGUAGCUGGCUUAACAAGUCUCCUGUUAAAUUCAGCGACCUAAUCGUUGAGCCGCGGGAGAUACUGUUAGGCUAGGAGGCGGGAGAGGCCAACGGUAUUCUCGGGGUAGGGGUGAAAUCCUAUAAUCCCGGGAGGACCACCAGUGGCGAAGGCUGUCGGCUAGAACGCGCUCGACGGUGAGGGACGAAAGCUGGGGGAGCGAACCGGAUUAGAUACCCGGGUAGUCCCAGCUGUAAACGAUGCGGGCUAGGUGUUGGUGUGGCUACGAGCCACUUCAGUGCCGCAGGGAAGCCAUUAA
Molecule: ribosomal RNA, 367 nt
Filed under: uncultured archaeon
Lineage: Archaea
Description: bacterial SSU rRNA
Rfam family: Archaeal small subunit ribosomal RNA
Source: RNAcentral